RNAcentral lists this long non-coding RNA (165 nucleotides) under Theropithecus gelada (gelada). RNAcentral's name for it is "lncRNA (ENSTGEG00000003987.1)". Lineage: Eukaryota; Metazoa; Chordata; Mammalia; Primates; Cercopithecidae. The record is from RNAcentral.
CCGGCAUCACUGGAGUGGUGGCGCAGCUGUUUCCUCCGAAGCUGUGGUGAUCAGUGACUUUGGUGAAGGCUAAGAAGGUUCAAACAAAUUUGCAAAUGAUAUACAACUUCUAAGGUAAGCUACUAUGAUGACUCAAUCAAGAUUUUAAGUGCUCUUGACAGACCU